ACGUAGGUGGCAAGCGUUGUCCGGAAUUAUUGGGCGUAAAGCGCGCGCAGGCGGGUUAUUAAGUGUGUCUUAAAAGGGCGAGGCUCAACCUCGGGAGGGGAUAGAAACUGGAAGUCUUGAGUGCAGGAGAGGAAAGUGGAAUUCCAAGUGUAGCGGUGAAAUGCGUAGAGAUUUGGAAGAACACCAGUGGCGAAGGCGACUUUCUGGACGAUAUCUGACGCUGAGGCGCGAAAGCUUGGGGAGCAAACAG
RNAcentral lists this ribosomal RNA (250 nucleotides) under uncultured prokaryote. RNAcentral describes it as "partial 16S rRNA". It matches the Rfam family "Bacterial small subunit ribosomal RNA", at positions 525 to 775 of the family's 1533-position model. The record is from RNAcentral.